RNAcentral lists this ribosomal RNA (484 nucleotides) under uncultured bacterium. RNAcentral's name for it is "partial 16S ribosomal RNA". It matches the Rfam family "Bacterial small subunit ribosomal RNA", at positions 30 to 507 of the family's 1533-position model. The record is from RNAcentral.
AUUGAACGCUGGCGGCAGGCCUAACACAUGCAAGUCGAGCGGAUGAAGGGAGCUUGCUCCUGGAUUCAGCGGCGGACGGGUGAGUAAUGCCUAUGAAUCUGCCUGGUAGUGGGGGAUAACGUCCGGAAACGGGCGCUAAUACCGCAUACGUCCUGAGGGAGAAAGUGGGGGAUCUUCGUACCUCACGCUAUCAGAUGAGCCUAGGUCGGAUUAGCUAGUUGGUGGAGUAAAGGCCUACCAAGGCGACGAUCCGUAACUGGUCUGAGAGGAUGAUCAGUCACACUGGAACUGAGACACGGUCCAGACUCCUACGGGAGGCAGCAGUGGGGAAUAUUGGACAAUGGGCGAAAGCCUGAUCCAGCCAUGCCGCGUGUGUGAAGAAGGUCUUCGGAUUGUAAAGCACUUUAAGUUGGGAGGAAGGGCAGUAAGUUAAUACCUUGCUGUUUUGACGUUACCAACAGAAUAAGCACCGGCUAACUUCGUG